AAUGAACGCUGGCGGCAUGCCUUACACAUGCAAGUCGAACGGCAGCAUGACCUAGCUUGCUAGGUUGAUGGCGAGUGGCGAACGGGUGAGUAAUGCAUCGGAACGUGCCUUUUAGUGGGGGAUAACGUAGCGAAAGUCACGCUAAUACCGCAUAUUCUCUGAGGAGGAAAGCAGGGGACCUUCGGGCCUUGCGCUAGAAGAGCGGCCGAUGUCGGAUUAGCUAGUUGGUGAGGUAAAGGCUCACCAAGGCAACGAUCCGUAGCGGGUCUGAGAGGAUGAUCCGCCACACUGGGACUGAGACACGGCCCAGACUCCUACGGGAGGCAGCAGUGGGGAAUUUUGGACAAUGGGCGCAAGCCUGAUCCAGCCAUGCCGCGUGAGUGAAGAAGGCCUUCGGGUUGUAAAGCUCUUUCGGCUGGGAAGAAAUCGCACCCUCUAAUACAGGGUGUGGAUGACGGUACCAGCAGAAGAAGCACCGGCUAACUACGUG
This 490-nucleotide ribosomal RNA is filed under the name uncultured bacterium. RNAcentral's name for it is "partial 16S ribosomal RNA". It matches the Rfam family "Bacterial small subunit ribosomal RNA", at positions 29 to 507 of the family's 1533-position model. The record is from RNAcentral.